RNAcentral lists this ribosomal RNA (458 nucleotides) under uncultured bacterium. Its description in RNAcentral is "partial 16S ribosomal RNA". It matches the Rfam family "Bacterial small subunit ribosomal RNA", at positions 338 to 795 of the family's 1533-position model. The record is from RNAcentral.
CCUACGGGUGGCAGCAGUGAGGAAUAUUGGUCAAUGGGCGAGAGCCUGAACCAGCCAAGUCGCGUGAGGGAGUACUGCCCUAUGGGUUGUAAACCUCUUUUGUCGGGGAGCAAAAGCCGGACGUGUCCGGCUGUGAGAGUACCCGAAGAAAAAGCAUCGGCUAACUCCGUGCCAGCAGCCGCGGUAAUACGGAGGAUGCGAGCGUUAUCCGGAUUUAUUGGGUUUAAAGGGUGCGCAGGCGGAUUUUUAAGUCAGCGGUAAAAUCGUGGGGCUCAGCCCCAUCCAGCCGUUGAAACUGGGGAUCUAGAGUGUGCGAGAGGUAUGCGGAAUGCGUGGUGUAGCGGUGAAAUGCAUAGAUAUCACGCAGAACCCCGAUUGCGAAGGCAGCAUACCGGUGCACAACUGACGCUCAGGCACGAAAGCGUGGGUAUCGAACAGGAUUAGAUACCCUUGUAGUC